CACUCCUACGGGAGGCAGCAGUGGGGAAUUUUGGACAAUGGGCGAAAGCCUGAUCCAGCCAUGCCGCGUGCAGGAUGAAGGCCUUCGGGUUGUAAACUGCUUUUGUACGGAACGAAACGGCCUUUUCUAAUAAAGAGGGCUAAUGACGGUACCGUAAGAAUAAGCACCGGCUAACUACGUGCCAGCAGCCGCGGUAAUACGUAGGGUGCAAGCGUUAAUCGGAAUUACUGGGCGUAAAGCGUGCGCAGGCGGUUAUGUAAGACAGUUGUGAAAUCCCCGGGCUCAACCUGGGAACUGCAUCUGUGACUGCAUAGCUAGAGUACGGUAGAGGGGGAUGGAAUUCCGCGUGUAGCAGUGAAAUGCGUAGAUAUGCGGAGGAACACCGAUGGCGAAGGCAAUCCCCUGGACCUGUACUGACGCUCAUGCACGAAAGCGUGGGGAGCAAACAGGAUUAGAAACCCGAGUAGUCC
Molecule: ribosomal RNA, 470 nt
Filed under: uncultured organism
Description: partial 16S ribosomal RNA
Rfam family: Bacterial small subunit ribosomal RNA
Source: RNAcentral